This 74-nucleotide transfer RNA is filed under the name Marasmius oreades (fairy-ring Marasmius). It matches the Rfam family "tRNA". From Rfam's summary of the family: Transfer RNA (tRNA) molecules are approximately 80 nucleotides in length. Their secondary structure includes four short double-helical elements and three loops (D, anti-codon, and T loops). The record is from Rfam by way of RNAcentral. Lineage: Eukaryota; Fungi; Basidiomycota; Agaricomycetes; Agaricales; Marasmiaceae.
GGCACUAUAGCUCAGUGGUCGAGAGCACCUUAGGACUAAUGAAAAGGUCUGGGGUUCAAAUCCCCAUAGAGCUA